Molecule: ribosomal RNA, 506 nt
Filed under: uncultured bacterium
Lineage: Bacteria
Description: partial 16S ribosomal RNA
Rfam family: Bacterial small subunit ribosomal RNA
Source: RNAcentral
AGUGAACGCUGGCGGUAGGCCUAACACAUGCAAGUCGAACGGCAGCACAGGAGAGCUUGCUCUCUGGGUGGCGAGUGGCGGACGGGUGAGGAAUACAUCGGAAUCUACUCUGUCGUGGGGGAUAACGUAGGGAAACUUACGCUAAUACCGCAUACGACCUACGGGUGAAAGCAGGGGACCUUCGGGCCUUGCGCGAUUGAAUGAGCGGAUGUCGGAUUAGCUAGUUGGCGGGGUAAAGGCCCACCAAGGCGACGAUCCGUAGCUGGUCUGAGAGGAUGAUCAGCAAGACUGGAACUGAGACACGGUCCAGACUCCUACGGGAGGCAGCAGUGGGGAAUAUUGGACAAUGGGCGCAAGCCUGAUCCAGCCAUACCGCGUGGGUGAAGAAGGCCUUCGGGUUGUAAAGCCCUUUUGUUGGGAAAGAAAUCCAGCUGGCUAAUACCCGGUUGGGAUGACGGUACCCAAAGAAUAAGCACCGGCUAACUUCGUGCCAGCCGCCGCCGUAA